UACGGAGGGUGCGAGCGUUGUUCGGAAUCACUGGGCGUAAAGCGCGUGUAGGCGGCCCACUAAGUCUGAUGUGAAAGCCCGGGGCUCACCCCCGGAAGUGCAUUGGAAACUGGUGGACUCGAGUCACGGAGAGGAGAGUGGAAUUCCUGGUGUAGCGGUGAAAUGCGUAGAUAUCAGGAGGAACCCCGGUGGCGAAGGCGGCUCUGUGGACGGUGACUGACGCUGAGACGCGAAAGCGUGGGGAGCAAACAGG
RNAcentral lists this ribosomal RNA (253 nucleotides) under uncultured bacterium. RNAcentral describes it as "partial 16S ribosomal RNA". It matches the Rfam family "Bacterial small subunit ribosomal RNA", at positions 524 to 776 of the family's 1533-position model. The record is from RNAcentral.